Molecule: long non-coding RNA, 1173 nt
Organism: Oxyura jamaicensis (ruddy duck)
Lineage: Eukaryota; Metazoa; Chordata; Aves; Anseriformes; Anatidae
Exons: 2
Source: RefSeq, a predicted model, not a curated record
AGAGAAGGACUUCCCUCUCCUGCCAGUGGCACUGGCUCUUGCAGAGCAGCAUCCUGUCCCAGGCAGCAGGGCUGCCAGGAGAGAGAAACUCUGCUGAAACCUUUCUGAGCAGAAGCCUGAUGAGAGCUGCUGUUCUGAAUCCUCUUUUUUUUUUAAUUGUCACUUUGGUUUAAUUUGACAACAACUAUUUGUCACACACUUCAGUAAGGUCAUUUGGAUGUUGCCAUGCACAACGGACUUGUAAUCCUUAUUCAGGGCAGAAAUGGCAGCAAGGCAAAGUGCUCUACUCCUUGCAUAAGGCUUCAUUGCUGGCAGAUAGGGCUACUGGGCGCAGGGACACAGCAUGUCCAUGGGCUGUACCCUCCUAUACCUGCUUUCCCAGCCUGUUAAAUCAUGCUGCAGAUCAAUAGCAGACAAAUGACUCUGCUGGCUAGUGGUUAGUUGAUGAGAUUUUUCUCUAUUGCUACUUCAGCUCAAGUGCUACGAUGAAGCGAGGGGUGUGAAAUUAAUUCGAUUUCUCUCCUGGACAAUAAUCACCUGGCUAUGCAAACCCUGCUGCCAGAUGUACUCCUUAAAAUGCCUCUUUGGUUUAGUGUCUAUGAACAGAGCACUUCAGCUCCCCAUGCAAACUGCAUGCUGCACCAAUAAACAGAAGAAACGUUGGAUGGAGACCAGAGGAGUUUGCAAUUAACACAUUAAACAGAUCGACCGAUGGCAGGAUCAAAAGCGCCGCAGCCAAAAGCAGAGUAGGAAACAAGCUGCACGUGUGAUGUGACCGUGGCUCUGUGCUGAUGGCUUGAUUUAUGUGAACUUUAAAGGCCAAUAGGAAGCUGAUGCUGCCGUGUAAGUUCCUUCUCUUUUUUCAUGUAAACUGCUUCCCCCGGUCUGGCACCAAGAAGAUAACUUCUCUCUCCUCCGUGUCUUUUUAUAACCGCUUAAUCUGCGGUAUCUGAUUCCUGCCUCUGCUGCGUACCCACUCUCUGCUAAGCAAGCUUUUGUAUGUCUGCCAGGCAGAAUUUUGUUGACAAAAAUCACUUUGUCACCAGAGUCAUGUGUAUGCCUGAUGAAAUGCUUUUAACUGACAGAAUGCUUUUAGUUGCAUGAGUUUAGUCAAAUAUACGACAUUAAGUAGAUUAAAACACAAAUUUUGACAGAGGUUUUCCUCUAAGAAAA